GACAGAGGGUGCAAACGUUGCUCGGAAUUACUGGGCGUAAAGCGCGUGUAGGCGGUCACGCAAGUCAGGUGUGAAAGCCCAGGGCUCAACCCUGGAAGUGCACAUGAUACUACGUGGCUGGAGUACUGAAGAGGAGAGCGGAAUUCCCGGUGUAGAGGUGAAAUUCGUAGAUAUCGGGAGGAACACCAGUGGCGAAGGCGGCUCUCUGGACAGAUACUGACGCUGAGGCGCGAAAGCGUGGGAAGCAAACAGG
RNAcentral lists this ribosomal RNA (253 nucleotides) under uncultured bacterium. RNAcentral's name for it is "partial 16S ribosomal RNA". It matches the Rfam family "Bacterial small subunit ribosomal RNA", at positions 524 to 776 of the family's 1533-position model. The record is from RNAcentral.